CAAUAGCGUAUAUUAAAGUUGUUGCGGUUAAAAAGCUCGUAGUUGGAUUUCUGGCAGGAGCGACCGGUCGCACGCUAUGCGUGUGAACUUGUGUUGUCUCUGGCCAUCCUUGGGGAGAUCCCGUUUGGCAUUAAGUUGUCGGGCCGGGGAUACCCAUCGUUUACUGUGAAAAAUUAGAGUGUUUAAAGCAGGCUUAUGCCGUUGAAUAUAUUAGCAUGGAAUAAUAAGAUAGGACUUUGGAACUAUUUUGUUGGUUUGCGUUACAAAGUAAUGAUUAAUAGGGAUAGUUGGGGGCAUUAGUAUUUAAUUGUCAGAGGUGGAAUUCUCAGAUUUGUUAAAGACUAACUUAUGCGAAAGCAUUUGCCAAGGAUGUUUUCAUUAAUCAAGAACGAAAGUUAGGGGAUCAAAGACGAUUAGAUACCAU
RNAcentral lists this ribosomal RNA (424 nucleotides) under uncultured eukaryote. RNAcentral's name for it is "SSU rRNA". It matches the Rfam family "Eukaryotic small subunit ribosomal RNA", at positions 592 to 1018 of the family's 1831-position model. The record is from RNAcentral.